RNAcentral lists this non-coding RNA (28 nucleotides) under Homo sapiens (human). Lineage: Eukaryota; Metazoa; Chordata; Mammalia; Primates; Hominidae. The record is from RNAcentral.
UGCACAUGAAUUCUCCAAAGCAGUGGGC